AACGAACGCUGGCGGCAGGCCUAACACAUGCAAGUCGAGCGAGCUUUUCUGCUUCGGUGGGAAAGUUAGCGGCGGACGGGUGAGUAACGCGUGGGAACGUGCCCUUUGCUACGGAACAACAGCUGGAAACGGCUGCUAAUACCGUAUGAUCCCUACGGGGGAAAGAUUUAUCGGCAAAGGAUCGGCCCGCGUUGGAUUGGGUAGUUGGUGAGGUAACGGCUCACCAAGCCGACGAUCCAUAGCUGGUUUGAGAGGAUGAUCAGCCACACUGGGACUGAGACACGGCCCAG
This 290-nucleotide ribosomal RNA is filed under the name uncultured bacterium. Its description in RNAcentral is "partial 16S ribosomal RNA". It matches the Rfam family "Bacterial small subunit ribosomal RNA", at positions 29 to 334 of the family's 1533-position model. The record is from RNAcentral.